Molecule: ribosomal RNA, 459 nt
Filed under: uncultured bacterium
Lineage: Bacteria
Description: partial 16S ribosomal RNA
Rfam family: Bacterial small subunit ribosomal RNA
Source: RNAcentral
CCUACGGGAGGCAGCAGUGAGGAAUAUUGGUCAAUGGGAGAGAUCCUGAACCAGCCAAGCCGCGUGAGGGAAGACGGCCCUAUGGGUUGUAAACCUCUUUUGUCGGAGAACAAAACCCGGGACGAGUCCCGGACUGCGUGUAUCCGAAGAAAAAGCAUCGGCUAACUCCGUGCCAGCAGCCGCGGUAAUACGGAGGAUGCGAGCGUUAUCCGGAUUUAUUGGGUUUAAAGGGUGCGUAGGCGGUCUGUUAAGUCAGCGGUAAAAGUGCGGGGCUCAACCCCGUCGAGCCUUUGAAACUGGCAGACUUGAGUGGGCGAGAAGUACGCGGAAUGCGCGGUGUAGCGGUGAAAUGCAUAGAUAUCGCGCAGAACUCCGAUUGCGAAGGCAGCGUACCGGCGCCAGACUGACGCUGAGGCACGAAAGCGUGGGGAUCGAACAGGAUUAGAUACCCGUGUAGUC